Molecule: long non-coding RNA, 534 nt
Organism: Lepidothrix coronata (blue-crowned manakin)
Lineage: Eukaryota; Metazoa; Chordata; Aves; Passeriformes; Pipridae
Exons: 3
Source: RefSeq, a predicted model, not a curated record
ACAUGGAGGAAGCUUCCAGCAACCUCUCAGAGAAGCCACCCUGUAGCUGCCCCACUACCAAAAUCUUGCCACAAAAAUCCAAAAUAGAUCAAAGCUUCCAUUUGAAGAAUGAAACCUAAAAAGAGUUCAAGAACUACUCCCAGAUCUGCAAUCUUUUUCUCUGUGUAAGAACUACAACUUAUGAACAAGUUUGAUUAAAAGAUCAAUCUCAGCUCUGGAGAUGAAUGCUUUUGAAGAUGAAACUAUGUUAAAUAUGUCAGCUAAUUUCAAAACCAGCAUGAAAGAAUUGAAGGUUAUGAAGCAAUGGUUAGCUGAGCCAGAGAUUGGGAAAAGCUCCUCUACCAAGCAUCUAUUGAAUCAAAUCUGUAAUCAUGCUCAGUCAACGCAGACAGACAUACCAGUAGAAAAAAUGCCUACUUUACCUGGACAGAUGAUGGUGAGAAUGACUGUUUUUGUGAAAUGACCUCAAAAGGCUGGGGUUAAAUACACUGUUUUUCCAAGAAGAAAGAAAAAAAAAGAAAUCAAAGAAAAUAA